This is a long non-coding RNA of Candoia aspera, 8303 nucleotides long. RefSeq lists it as uncharacterized. The record is from RefSeq and is a predicted model, not a curated record. The transcript is spliced from 4 exons. Lineage: Eukaryota; Metazoa; Chordata; Lepidosauria; Squamata; Candoiidae.
UUGAAGUAGGGAGGGGAAGAUGGCGGAGUGAGGGGAAGAAGUGGAGCGAGAGCCGCUGCGGGCUGCGGCCCAGGGGCCCCAGCUGUGUGUUGCCCCUCCAGGUCCAUGCAUAUACGAUAGUGAUUGGCAGUCAAAACAAGAAACUUCUAUUAACUGAAAGCUACAGGCAAAAGUUCUUGGUGAUAAAUGAUCAGUGCAGCCUGAAAUGAAAGAGGAAUUGUAAUGGGACUAGAAGCAAGCAAAUGUCCCUAUCUUCCAACAGGGAGAAAAAUGCAGGAAUUAUCCAUCACUAAAGGUCUUUUCCUUUUGAUCCAGGAGAGGCUGUUUCUAAAGAAUUGCUAUUCAUGAAUAUCCAUCUUGUGAAGAAAACUUUUCCCUUAUUUCUCUAAAAGAAAAUGAAGAAAUGCUGCUCUGAUUCUUUUCCAGCUCCUUAUCAUAAAAAAUUGUCACACGGAAGCCUGUAUUAUAGAGGUGGAAAGCACAGCCCUUGCAAAAGAACUAAAAUGGAUAUGUAGAAUUUCAUACAAUUAUGUAAACCAGGCCUUUGCUUAGGGUUUUUGCCCUCUAGAAAUGAUUGUGCAUACAAAUAUAGGCAGUUGCCAAUUCUUGUUGACACUUUGUUCCCUUCAAUAUAUUUUAGUAAGGUAAUUCAUCACAAAAUAUUUGGAGAACCUAACAAAUUGAUAUGUUCUUGAAAUACUGUCUCAUAAACCUUGAUGAAAAAUUGUGGCAGAAGAACCAGGAUGUACAUGUGUUGUAAAAGAAAAAAGAGAAAUAGUUUGAAAGAUUUCCCACUGAGAAUUUUCCUUCUUAAAAGAGUCAGUUUAAGUAGAUAACAAUCUUGAUGCAACUAUGUAAAGCUGCUGUUGCAUAGCAGCUAAUAAUCAUUUUAUCUGUUGCAUUUAAGUGUAGCCUCACUUUUUAAAGCAAACAGAUAAAAGAAAUCUUUAUGUACAUUUGCAUCUACAUAAAAGCUGGAAAGUGGGGAUAUUAGUAGCAUGUCCCAAGUUGGAAGACUUAAAAGUAUAGAAAGUAAGCCUUGGGGCAGUGGAAUUUACUUGGUAUCCCUAUUCUUCCCUAAGGAAUUCAACAACAAAAGGAACAAUGACUUUUAUCUAUCCAGGCUUUUACCUGAAAGGAACAACAAUGCUGGUAUAACCUUGUAUGUAAAACUUUCCACUGCUUAGAUGAACAAAAGGUAGACAUGCUCAGGAAGGGCUGCUUCAUCAUUUCUCACUAUGUCACCUACAGUUAAGGUGGGAAUUAUGUUCUAAACAUGUUUACAGAAAAUUCUUUGCAUUGUGUUUAUUAAUACUGGACAGUUCCUUUCAAGCUGGGAUAAAAGCUGCUCUUCAACCAGUUUGCCAGAAUGGAUGCAAAGGCCUAUGUCUUCUUUUCUUGCUGAGCCAUGGAGCCCUUAGUAGUGCACCUUAUUUCAGUUUUAUUAAAAUUUUAAUUUAGAUUUGCUAGUAGUUUAACAAUAUCCUCAAUCUGAGUUAAAGGGAGUACAAUUAAUAAUGGUUAGUCAUAGCUAAGAAUGUUGAAUGCUUUUGGCUGAUUGAUGGCAAAUGUUAUUUUCUGAGGAAAAGUAGUGGCUGACAGAAGAACAUUUGGGAUAUGCGUAUGUUUUAAAUAGUUUUAAUAAGGGGAAUUAUACCUAGCAAAGCAUUUGUAUUUGGUUGUCAUAAUGUCGUAUUUAGCUUAUCCAUGAUAAAAGAGCAAACAUUUAUUCCGUCGCUUUCUUUGAAUAAAAAUGAAGUAUGGGUAGUCCUCGUUUAGCAGCCACAAUUGGAAGCGGCAACUGAGUUGUUAAGCAAAGCAGUCGCUAAGUGAAACCGUGACUGGGCUUAUGAUCUUACUUGAGCUUUCCUUUGCUUUAUAGACCUGUGAAGAUCUUAAAUGCGAGGGUUGGUCAUAAAGUUACUUUUUCAUUACCAUUUUAACUGUGAAUGGUCUCUAAACAAGGCAGUCACUAAAUGAGGACUGCUUGUACAAUUGUUUUUAAAAAGUGUUUCAAUAGAACAUUUUCAGAGGACUUAAAAUCUAUAGCUACAGGACAAAAAUGAAAUAUUUAAUAUUCAAAUUGGUCUGAAGCCCUGAAAUCUUGUUUGAAUACUAAAUUUUAAAAUAAGUUGGAUAUCCUUUGGGAUUAUCAGGGCUUCAGAAGUAAAGUCUAACCUAAUGGUGUAUAAGCUGUCCUCUGCAACUCUGUUACUGAAAAUCAGAAAAAAAGCAUGAUAAUUGUUCAAUCAGUUUUUAGAUGUUGCUUUAGCUAUUUAUACCUCAGAGGUAUUUUGUGGGGAAGAAAAUACAUUGGGACAGAGUGGGAAUAUAAUUUAGUUUCCCCAAAUCAUCAGAAAAUGACCAUAUCAUUUAAGAAGAAAAUCAGUCUUUAUCCCCUUUCCCACUGAACCCAUUGUCUAUUUUUAUUGAAUACAUCUGCAUUAAGAGUAUACUUAGUAUUGGAGAAACAACAAAACUGAUAACUAUGCCCAGGAAAUCAUUUUGCAGCGUACUUAUCCUGUUGCAUCUCCUUAACAGUACUAUCCAGAGGCAAUAUUGCCUUAAUUUUUUGGUUUUACAUACUCAUCUGUUGUCCACCUUGGCAGGAAAUCUUUCACAUCUGACAGAUGAAGCAAAUAUGGGGCAUGUGCAAUAGUAUAAUAUAUACAUAUAAAUAUAUUUUAAUACUUGUGGACAAAACGUUACAAGUUGUUUGAGAACAACAAAAUCACCAAUGUCUUCCAUUUUAAAAUGUGUAUAGUUCCAUAAGCAUUAGUGCUUUGUAGCAAAACUGUAGUGCCAUGUUAGGAUCAGUGCAUGAGCCUAGUAGUACUUUUUUUUACAAUUUCAGAGUGACAAAUUAAUGAAGCUGAUGAUGUAACUUCUAGGAAACUGACAUGGUUAUGGUCAUGGUCUAAAGAUGCAGUGUCCUUUCUAGGCAAUGGUAGAAGAAACUGCUGCAUAGAAUCAGUGAGAUGUGGAUUUUGUAGUGAUUGCAUGAAAAUAAUCUUUAAACAGCCAGGUACAUUUUGAGUGCACUUAAAGAAACUGCAUGUGAAACCUUAAUAGAAGUAACAGUCUUUAACAAAACCCUUUGUGAAUCAUGAAAUAUUUUGCUAUAUUGAGAAAAAUAACUGAUAAUGUAAAUUCUUAAAUUUUAGGGACUAGAAUAAGCAUAUGACUAGUCUUUCCCACUCAUGCUUUUUUCCGUAUAUUGCAUUUCCCACAAAAAAGGUUUGGUAUGUUUUGAAUCAGAUUUAUUGGUUGUUUCUGUGCUCGCAUUAAGACAGGAAUGGAUACCGUUUUGCAGUAUAACUGUUGAUUGCAGAAACUGAAUGAUAGAUUGGGGCUUGCACAUAUCUGCCAAUAUAUCAUGGCAUCUCUUAAUCAAGAGUAGCAUCUUGCAAAAUUGACUGAACUAGAAAUGGUAUCACUGUACAGCUAUUUAUGAAUGCACCUAAAUUAUUAGCACUGUUAUUAAAAUCUCAAAAUUUUACCUUUACCAUUUUGGUAAAGCAUUUGUUGGAGUUUUCUGCUAAUUCAUCUAUUUGAUCCCAUUUAAUUAUUGCAUCCAAAUAUCUAUACUUACAUUACAGUAAUCUGAAUAGGUUUUCCCCCCUUCCUUUUCUGAAAAUACUGCUUCAGUUAGGUAAUUCAUCUACUUAACUUUUUAUUUUUGGUUCAAGCAAGUCAAGUUUUAAGUUAUGAAUCUGGUUCUUUGUAGAUCUUUAUGUUUAUGGUUUAAAUGCUACUUUUUGCUUAAAGGGGAUACUGCAUCUUUUUUUUAAAAAAACCCUUAUCUAUAAAUGGCCACCUUGAUGAGGGAAGAGAUGUCUCUGACUUUGCACAGUAUUUCUUUAUUGGUAAAACAUAAUACAAAACAUGUAAUUUAACUGUUAAGCCAGAGAACUGCAGAAUUACUUUUUAAAGAUCUCUCUUGGUUUUCUCAUGAAAGUGGCAAGGUGUGUCAUUUAGAGUUGAGUUGUGAGGGCCUGAGCUCUGUCAUGGUUCUCUUGUGAACAACAGUAUAAUUGAACAAAAUGGUGAUGAUUGGGAGAAUUGAUGGAAAAAUACCUCUGAAACUGGAAUGCAAAAUAGCACAGUAUGUAGGGGGAAGAAUCCCUGAUGCAAAUAAAGCCAUAAGAUGACAAUAAAUAGAACUUUAGUAGCAAUAACUGUUUGCAUGUAAUAGGACCUAACUUGCACUGGCAAGAAUUGUAUAGUAGAAUAAAUGGUAUUAACCAAAUAGGUUUGCGGUGCUCUGUGUUGCAGGAAGUUGAAUUUCUCAUUAAAAGGUUAGAAAGUUCCUCUCUACCACAGAACUAUGUGCUUGAAUGCUACAGGGCAAGGCUUGACAAAAAUUCCAGAAUUUUAUUUUUCAAAAUUGAUAUAAUUAGGAACAAUGUUUAUGAAAUUGAUGAAAACUUACAUAGAAUGUAGAUAAUUCAUCAUUUCUGAAGAGACAAAGAAUCCUUGAGGCUGGGUUCUAUCUAGACAUAUAAUUUAGGAGAUUUGGGGAUCCGGAUUUCUGAACCAAGUUGUGGAUUUCUCUGAAAGUAGUGUAUGCAUAUAUAAUUGUUUUGGUCAUUUUGUUUUACAAGCAAAUCUGGUUUCACUUCUUUUUUAAUUAUAUAAAGCUACUUGGAGACUUGGAAGGUAGAGAGCAAGCUUCAGUUCACUCUGCCUGGCAAACUCUUACCCUCAUCACUCUAGAGAGUAGAGUUUAUACCUCUUUAAAAUGCGGUUGCACUAACCUUGUAUGCAUGUGCAUACUGAAGACCAAGGAGACUGUAAAUUUAAUGAAGAACUCUGCCUUAAGCAGGAUUCAGUUGACCAGAUUCAUCUGCAAGGCUGGGACAUAUACUUAAAGGAAGUAGCUUUACUUUUAUUUUUGUUCUUCAUUGUAUGGUAUUCAUUAUUUAUCCACAUGGAUGAGGCAGAAGUUUUAAAAUAAAAUGCAUAUACACAUAUGCAUGCAUGUUUAUACACAUUCUAUAGAAAUUUCUGCUCUGUAUAUAUUUAUACUGAUCAGUGAAAAUUAGCACAAGUUUCUAAAAUGUUCAGGAGUUGAAUCAAGCAUUUGGUUGUUCUAUAUAUGUAGAAAAAUAGUUGAUAUACUUAGGUAACUUUUGCUCACAAAAUAUAUAGGAAGUAUUCAUUAAUCUUGCAAACAAUUUCUCUAACCCUGGAAAAUUAUUUGCACUUACUGUAGUUGCCUACAUGAUUGUUUAAAUACUUGUUGGCAGAAUUCUAAAGGUAUCUUAUAUCUAUAUCAGUACAAUUUUCACUGCUCACAUGUUUGAGCAGCUAAUUUGCACCUUUUUCACUGUUGGUUAAACUGGUGCUAGGCUGACAUUAUAACACUGCUCCUAUAAAAUAAGGUAGAAAAUUUUAGUCUCAUAAUCUGGGUCACAAAUGGGGAGGGGCUCAGAACUGCAUGCAAGAAUUGAAUGAGGUGCUACUCUGGAAGAACUAGAUUGUUGUUCAUUGCUUGCUUAAACAUGUGACUUGCAGCCUCAUCCUAGAGUGUAUGCUGCCUUGAUCUGAAUGGUAAGAGACUAUAAUAUUUAAACUACUGGAGAUUUAACAUUGAAAUAUAGUUCUAAAUGCAGAUGAGAGAAAACUCUUAAGUGGCUCUUCAUGGUACUUAACCUGCCUAUUCUGUGUGUGGUUUUCCCCUUCCUUUGAUUGUAAUAAUUCUCUUGAUAGCUCUUAAUUUUUGAUUGCAGAUCAGUUUCAUUGAAACAUUAAUACUAUUCUUGAUGAAAGGUUCCAUAGAGCUUGCAUUUCAUCUGUCAAUAUUUUUAGUGGUUUGAUUUUUUUAUUAUUUUAAUCAGCACCUACUUUCUAAAUUUUAUGGUGAAAUUCCUCUUAAUAUAGACCUCCCUUUUAGAUUUUUUAAUUUUUAUUUAUUUUGCACUUUGAAAAACAGUAAAUCAAGAAUUCAAGCACAAUAUUGACACAUAGAUGCCAGAAAAUAGCUCUCACAAGCAGGUUUCUGGAAUGUAGAUUGCAAGUAAUAGUUCUUUGAUGUUUCAAUCAGGAUUUAGAGAACCUAAGCUGAACUGAGUUUUUGCAUUCAGUUUGUAUGCUUGGGGAUGGGUUAUAAGAGGAGCCUAUAGAGAGAGAGGCAAUGACUUUAACUUUCCCAGGAAUGUAGAGAAAUGGUAGCUGUGCAGAGUGCAUAGAUUUAUACAAAGAAGAUUGCCGGAAUAAAUACUUUAGCAUAUCUCUUAACAGAGUGGGAGAAGGAACACCUAUGCAUGCACUUAAACUUGUUACUGGAAUCAAAUUGAUUAAAGAAUAAAUGUAUAUUGGCUAUGGGAGGGUUAGGGUGCCUAUUUCUUGCUUUCUAGAGAAGAAAGGUGUUGUGUAGAGAGGAACUGACUUCAUUUUAGGAACAUGGGAAAUGAAUGACAGAGGCUUUGAAUCUGAGCACUUCCUAGCUGGUUUUAGAUGGAAUUUCCAAGUUUUCUAAGUCACAGCACAACGAACAUUCCAUAAAGUAUAUUUCAUAAGGACUGCAUGUUGCAAUUCUUUUCUGUUCCAUGCAGGUGAAGGCAGGUGGGGUUACAAAGCCCUCAGAAUGGAAAACUUGUGUGGGAAAAAUACCACUGGCACAAGCACAUAGACUCACAAACCGUCUUUUAUAGAGAUAGUAUUCUAAUUAUGCAUGAUUAAAAUGUUUAGUGUUAUAGCUAUUAUCAGUAAAUUGAUAUAUGCAUUUAUACAUUAUGAAGCAAUAGGAACCAAUAUACCAAUAGCUUGAAUUUACUGCUUUGAUUCUCAGUUUUUUAGACAACAUGCUGCCUCUUUAGUAAAGGGGCAGAAUGUACAAAGAAGGGACGAAGCAUGACGCCAAAACUGUGUAUUAGAAAAAGGAAUCAGUAGAAUGAGCCCUUUUGGCCUCUUACCAAGUUCAUAGCAGCUCAUGAGCCUAUAUAAUAUGAACAUGGUUGAUGGCAAGUUGGGUUUCUUGGGUUGCUGCAGUUGUACAAACAAAAAAGGUGCAGAGUUUCAGAGUACCAAGAAGGCAAUAGGUAAAUCCCAAAUGGGGCAAUAAAAAUGAUCUAAGCUGUGUAGGGUUUGUUGUUAUUUUUAAGUUGAGAUUGUGAACUUUAGCCAGAGCCUGUUGCAGUUAAAAAACAAUGAGUAAAUAAAAUGAGUAAGCUGUCCAUACUUUUCAGGUAUUAAUUCUUUCUAGGACAGGUGUGGCUUUUCAGGUUUUUUUCCACCACCUUGGCAGCUAGGUUAAAAUGAACUGGUUUCAGACCAGCAAUAAUUAUACCUUACAAUAUGAAAAUUGGAGCUAUUUAUUAUAUAUUCAAGCUUUAUUUAAGUAGGGGGUGGCUCUUUUGAUCUAUUAGAGGAUUGUUGGUGUGAAUACUCAAUUUUGAAAAACUGGUGCAGCAAAACAUGUUAACGUAGGGAUACUAGAAACAACAGGCUAGCUGUUGUAGCAAAGUCUGCAUUGGCACAUUCUUUUCCUAUUAAGAUGUGCUAAAAAGAAAUCCCGAGUUAAAAUCCUUAGAUUAUGGCUAUACUAGUUUGCAAAAAGGCAGUCUUAGCUUACCUGAAUACUAGUGUAUCUCAAAGAUAGACCCUUUUUCUAGGUUAUGAACAUUCAUUAAGGCAUGUUUAUACAUUUUUGUGUUUUGUAACUUUCCUAGGCAUACACAUUUCCAACUGUAUUUUUGCACUACCAUUGCCAGUAAUCAGUAACUUCCAGAUAGCUAGACUAUUGGAGUUGUGAUUGAAGUCUUGCAAACCAUUUUUAACAAGUGAAAUAGGCAACAGUAUCUCAUUUCUAAAUUUUCCCUUCCAAAGUUUACUUCUCUUGUAGAUUACGUUUGCAGGUGUUUCAACUAAACCGUAGGAUUUAAGACUGCUACUAAAUGGAUUUUCUUUUUUCAAAACAAUGUUGUUCUAAAGUGUUUGAAAAUUGGGAAGAAUGGGUAGCAAGUUAAGUCUUGAAGAUAACCUACAAAAAAUUGGCAGACUGGUAUGCCUGUUACUGACAAAAACUCAUCUGGAUUAGUAGAGACAAGGAAUAGGCUACAUCUACAUCUACUCCACUAUACACUUUGUAUCAAUACGAACAAUUUGCCCAUGUAUAUACCUGAUAUUUUCCAGAUGGCAGCUUGCUUUUAUAUCUAUGCAUAUUUGGGGAAGGGGAGGAAUGUGUUAAAUGUAUUCUUUUGACACUGUAAACAAUAAUUGCUCAAAAAUGAACUUUGAAACUCUGCACCUGUAUAUAAUUUUUUAGCAAUAAAGCAGCAUGAGCUGAGAAUGCACUAAAA